UUGGCCUCGGAUCAGGUGGGGAUACCCGCUGAACUUAAGCAUAUCAAUAAGCGGAGGAAAAGAAACCAACAGGGAUUGCCUCAGUAACGGCGAGUGAAGCGGCAACAGCUCAAAUUUGAAAUCUGGCUCACGCCCGAGUUGUAAUUUGUAGAGGAUGUUUCGGGUGAAGCCGCGGUCCAAGUCCCUUGGAACAGGACGUCAUAGAGGGUGAGAACCCCGUACCUGGCCGCCGGUGCCCCCGCUGUGAAACUCCUUCGACGAGUCGAGUUGUUUGGGAAUGCAGCUCUAAAUUGGUGGUAAAUUCCAUCUAAAGCUAAAUACCGGCCAGAGACCGAUAGCGCACAAGUAGAGUGAUCGAAAGAUGAAAAGCACUUUGAAAAGAGAGUUAAAAGUACGUGAAAUUGUUGAAAGGGAAGCGCUUGCGGCCAGACUUGCCUGCGGUUGCUCAUCCCGCCUUUUGGCGGGUGCACUCUUCCGCAGUCAGGCCAGCAUCGGUUUGGGCGGUCGGAUAAAGGCGCUGGGAACGUGGCCUCCCCUCGGGGAGGUGUUAUAGCCCGGCGCGCAAUGCGACCAGCCCGGACCGAGGUUCGCGCUUUGCUAGGAUGCUGGCGUAAUGGCCGUAAGCGGCCCGUCUUGAAACACGGACCAAGGAGUCUAACAUCUAUGCGAGUGUUUGGGUGUCAAACCCGUGCGCGUAAUGAAAGUGAACGGAGGUGGGAACCGCAAGGUGCACCAUCGACCGAUCCUGAUGUCUUCGGAAGGAUUUGAGUAAGAGCAUAGCUGUUGGGACCCGAAAGAUGGUGAACUAUGCGUGAAUAGGGUGAAGCCAGAGGAAACUCUGGUGGAGGCUCGCAGCGGUUCUGACGUGCAAAUCGAUCGUCAAAUUUGCGUAUAGGGGCGAAAGACUAAUCGAACCAU
This 918-nucleotide ribosomal RNA is filed under the name Caproventuria hanliniana. RNAcentral's name for it is "eukaryotic LSU rRNA". It matches the Rfam family "Eukaryotic large subunit ribosomal RNA", at positions 1 to 943 of the family's 3401-position model. The record is from RNAcentral. Lineage: Eukaryota; Fungi; Ascomycota; Dothideomycetes; Venturiales; Venturiaceae.